UACAGAGGUCCCAAGCGUUGUUCGGAUUCAUUGGGCGUAAAGGGUGCGUAGGUGGCGGGGUAAGUCGGAUGUGAAAUCCCGGGGCUCAACCCCGGAACUGCAUCCGAUACUGCCGUGCUAGAGGAUUGGAGAGGUAGCUGGAAUUCUUGGUGUAGCAGUGAAAUGCGUAGAGAUCAAGAGGAACACUCGUGGCGAAAGCGAGCUACUGGACAAUAUCUGACGCUGAGGCUCGAAGGCCAGGGUAGCGAAAGGG
Molecule: ribosomal RNA, 253 nt
Filed under: uncultured bacterium
Lineage: Bacteria
Description: partial 16S ribosomal RNA
Rfam family: Bacterial small subunit ribosomal RNA
Source: RNAcentral